CAAAAUGGUGACACUGACAUUCUUAUACGCUGGAAUACAAAUUAAAGUGUGAGAUGUAGAUGAGAAUAAGUGUACUAGAGUUCUUAUAGGACAUGCUGGAAUUGUAAAAUCAAUGUGUUCACAUUCAAUGGAUUCUGGUUCAUGUCGAGCAUACAUAUGUUCCUUUUUAACUUAUUUAUGUUUUUGGUCAAGAGGGCUCUAACUUUUGUUGCUUACAAAUCUUCUUGUAUCUGGUUCAAGAUGGAUGUUUUGCGUUGUUGGAUUUAAUAUGUAAAAGUAGCUCUCACAAAGAGGAAUUUUGUAUCAACUCUAUUGGGAUGGUUAAAGGAUCUCAUCAAUCUCCUCUUUCAAAACGAAUCAGACGUCGCAAGCUGCUUCAUCAAGCAUUACCUUUGUGCUUUAUUUGAAGGAUGAGAUCACAAUUGCCACUGCUGGAGCACCAGAUAAGCCUUUGUGCUUUACUCCGACAUUGCUUUGAUCUAUAGGAUAAAAUGAACAAGUUUUGAUUUCUUGACUUCUAAAGUAAAAUGAACAAGUUUUGAGUUUUCAAGAAACCAGAUUGGUGA
This is a long non-coding RNA of Arabidopsis lyrata subsp. lyrata, 566 nucleotides long. RefSeq lists it as uncharacterized. The record is from RefSeq and is a predicted model, not a curated record. NCBI's taxonomy places the organism in Eukaryota, Viridiplantae, Streptophyta, Magnoliopsida, Brassicales, Brassicaceae. The transcript has 3 exons.